UACAGAGGGUGCAAGCGUUGUUCGGAUUUACUGGGCGUAAAGGGCGCGUAGGCGGUCAGCACAAGUCAGUUGUGAAAUCUCCGGGCUUAACCCGGAAAGGUCAGCCGAUACUGCGGGGCUAGAGUGCAGAAGGGGCAACUGGAAUUCUCGGUGUAGCGGUGAAAUGCGUAGAUAUCGAGAGGAACACCUGCGGCGAAGACGGGUUGCUGGGCCGACACUGACGCUGAGGCGCGAAAGCCAGGGGAGCAAACGGG
Molecule: ribosomal RNA, 254 nt
Filed under: uncultured bacterium
Lineage: Bacteria
Description: partial 16S ribosomal RNA
Rfam family: Bacterial small subunit ribosomal RNA
Source: RNAcentral